This is a non-coding RNA of Acanthosepion pharaonis, 86 nucleotides long. The record is from the annotation of a GenBank genome assembly. Lineage: Eukaryota; Metazoa; Mollusca; Cephalopoda; Sepiida; Sepiidae.
UUCUCAAAAGAUCGCCGAAGUUAAGCAACGUCGAGUCUGGUCAGUACCUAAGUGGGUGACCGCUUGGGAAUACCAGGAGUUGCAAU